Molecule: transfer RNA, 49 nt
Filed under: Rafnia angulata subsp. thunbergii
Lineage: Eukaryota; Viridiplantae; Streptophyta; Magnoliopsida; Fabales; Fabaceae
Description: partial transfer RNA-Phe
Source: RNAcentral
CGGGAUAGCUCAGCUGGUAGAGCAGAAGACUGAAAAUCCUCGUGUCACC